GAGUAAUGCAGUUCAUCCCGUGAAGAUUCGGGAUUUUGUUAAUCAGGAGAUAGUAUCCGAGUUCUUGAGUAAAUCUAGUGAUGAUGUUGCAACCAGUGAACAGACCGUACCACUAUUAUCCAAGAAUAGUUUUUGUUACAGCAACACGAACAUUUGGGAAAAUUUCCAAGGGAUUAUGCUACGGUUCGUAAAGGAACUGUUGGCACCUCCAAUAGUUG
Molecule: unclassified non-coding RNA, 218 nt
Filed under: Hevea brasiliensis (rubber tree)
Lineage: Eukaryota; Viridiplantae; Streptophyta; Magnoliopsida; Malpighiales; Euphorbiaceae
Source: RNAcentral